AGCAGCCGCGGUAAUUCCAGCUCCAAUAGCGUAUAUUAAAGUUGUUGCAGUUAAAAAGCUCGUAGUUGAAUUUUAGACUUGGCCGGGCGGUCCGUCUUUGGCGAGUACUGUCCUGUUGUCGGGUCUUCCUUCUGGUGAACCAGUAUGUCCUUAAUUGGGUGUGUUGGGGAGCCAGGACCAUUACCUUGAAAAAAUUAGAGUGUUUAAAGCGGGCUAUUGCUUGAAUAGAUUAGCAUGGAAUAAUAGAAUAGGACGUUGUGGUUCUAUUUUGUUGGUUUCUAGGACCACCGUAAUGAUUAAUAGGGAUAGUUGGGGGCAUUAGUACUCAAUUGUCAGAGGUGAAAUUCUUGGAUUUAUUGAAGACUAACUAUUGCGAAAGCAUUUGCCAAGGAUGUUUUCAUUAAUCAAGAACGAAAGUUAGGGGAUCGAAGACGAUCAGAUACCGUCGUAGUCUUAACCAUA
This 462-nucleotide ribosomal RNA is filed under the name uncultured Archaeospora. RNAcentral's name for it is "SSU rRNA". It matches the Rfam family "Eukaryotic small subunit ribosomal RNA", at positions 569 to 1034 of the family's 1831-position model. The record is from RNAcentral. Lineage: Eukaryota; Fungi; Glomeromycota; Glomeromycetes; Archaeosporales; Archaeosporaceae.